Molecule: non-coding RNA, 867 nt
Organism: Procambarus clarkii (red swamp crayfish)
Lineage: Eukaryota; Metazoa; Arthropoda; Malacostraca; Decapoda; Cambaridae
Source: RefSeq, a predicted model, not a curated record
GCCGGUAGUAACAAAUGAAACCUCGAGACUCAAGUAGUGAAACGAGUUUUUCCACCUACUGACGUCCACGGUAAGACAUUUAAGCACAAGACCAGCCAGCACAGUACAGGUAGAGACGCCAGUGAAGCCGGCAGGUCGCUCCCCACACACACAGACCAAAGUGUGGCAUCAAAACUUGACUACCAACGAUAAAAGGUGAAGGAUGAUGACUGGCUGGGUGACCUUCCUGGCGUGGGUGGUUGUGUUGCUGCUCUGUGGCGCUCCCUCACCGGCUCUGUCUGAGAGCGUCGGGCGGCCGGGUGUUCCUGGAGGCAGCGCCAGGCUGGCCAGACACGCCCAGUUCGGUGGUUUUGGUGCACGUGGAAGUGGUAGUUUUGGUGGAGGUUUUGGUGCAGGUGGAGGUGGAUGCCUUCUACCCGAGCGCGGGAGCGGCAUUUACUUCUUGGUCAGGCAGAAAUUCCUUUUGGAGACCUCGAAUCAGAUUUGGGCUAUCCGGGCCAUUCUUUUGACAAUGGUACAGGGGCUAACUUCACUUCACCUGGCUGAUGGCGUCACCUGGCUGAUGACGUCACCUGGCUGAUGGCGUCACCUGGCUGAUGGCGUCACCUGGCUGAUGACGUCACCUGGCUGAUGGCGUCACCUGGCUGAUGGCGUCACCUGACUGAUGACGUCACCUGCCUGAUGGCGUCACCUGGCUGAUGGCGUCACCUGGCUGAGGGCAUCACCUGGCUGAUGGCGUCACCUUCCUGAGGGCAUCACCUGGCUAAUGACAUAUACUCAACACUUGCGGAGUUCAGAACAAGCAAAACUCCUCCAACAUUGCAUUUUCUAUAUAUAUAAAUAAAACAUAAUAAAACGAUACAUUUC